RNAcentral lists this ribosomal RNA (433 nucleotides) under uncultured bacterium. RNAcentral describes it as "partial 16S ribosomal RNA". It matches the Rfam family "Bacterial small subunit ribosomal RNA", at positions 29 to 507 of the family's 1533-position model. The record is from RNAcentral.
AACGAACGCUGGCGGCAUGCCUAACACAUGCAAGUCGAACGAGACCUUCGGGUCUAGUGGCGCACGGGCGCGUAACGCGUGGGAACCUGCCCUUAGGUUCGGAAUAACUCCCCGAAAGGGGUGCUAAUACCGGAUAAUGUCUUAGGACCAAAGAUUUAUCGCCUUUGGAUGGGCCCGCGUUGGAUUAGCUAGUUGGUAGGGUAAAAGCCUACCAAGGCGACGAUCCAUAGCUGGUCUGAGAGGAUGAUCAGCCACACUGGGACUGAGACACGGCCCAGACUCCUACGGGAGGCAGCAGUGGGGAAUAUUGGACAAUGGGCGAAAUCCUGAUCCAGCAAUGCCGCGUGAGUGAUGAAGGCCUUAGGGUUGUAAAGCUCUUUUACCCGGGAUGAUAAUGACAGUACCGGGAGAAUAAGCUCCGGCUAACUCCGUG